CUCCGGUUGAUCCCGCCGGACCUGACUGCUAUCGGAUUGGUACUAAGCCAUGCGAGUCGUUGUAGCAAUACAAGGCGGACGGCUCAGUAACACGUAGUCAACCUAACCUAUGGACGUGGAUAACCUCGGGAAACUGAGAAUAAACCGCGAUAGAUCAUUAUGCCUGGAAUGGCUUAUGGUUCAAACAAUUUAUUGCCGUAGGAUGGGACUGCGGCCUAUCAGCUUGUUGGUGAGGUAAUGGUCCACCAAGGCUAUAACAGGUACGGGCUCUGAGAGGAGAAGCCCGGAGAUGGGUACUGAGACACGGACCCAGGCCCUAUGGGGCGCAGCAGGCGAGAAACCUUAGCAAUGUGCGAAAGCACGACUAGGUUAAUCCGAGUGAUUUCUGUUGAAGAAAUCUUUUGUCAGUCGUAAAACCACAGACGAAUAAGGGGUGGGCAAGUCUGGUGUCAGCCGCCGCGGUAAUACCAGCACCUCGAGUGGUCAGGAGGUUUAUUGGGCCUAAAGCAUCCGUAGCCGGCUACGCAAGUCUCCGGUUAAAUCCAGCUGCUCAACAGAUGGGCUGCCGGAGAUACUACAUAGCUAGGGAGCGGGAGAGGUAGACGGUAUUCUGUGGGUAGGGGUAAAAUCCACUGAUCCAUAGAGGACCACCAGUGGCGAAGGCGGUCUACCAGAACGCGUUCGACGGUGAGGGAUGAAAGCUGGGGGAGCAAACCGGAUUAGAUACCCGGGUAGUCCCAGCUGUAAACGAUGCAAACUCGGUGAUGCAUUGGCUUAUGGCCAAUGCAGUGCCGCAGGGAAGCCGUUAAGUUUGCCGCCUGGGAAGUACGGACGCAAGUCUGAAACUUAAAGGAAUUGGCGGGGGAGCA
RNAcentral lists this ribosomal RNA (869 nucleotides) under uncultured archaeon. RNAcentral describes it as "bacterial SSU rRNA". It matches the Rfam family "Archaeal small subunit ribosomal RNA", at positions 1 to 878 of the family's 1478-position model. The record is from RNAcentral.